RNAcentral lists this long non-coding RNA (236 nucleotides) under Lathyrus oleraceus (garden pea). RNAcentral's name for it is "Pisum sativum (pea) long non-coding RNA (PSAT_LNC006488)". Lineage: Eukaryota; Viridiplantae; Streptophyta; Magnoliopsida; Fabales; Fabaceae. The record is from RNAcentral.
UUGUUUUCAUUUUUUCUUAAUAUCAUCUUGUUGUAUGCCAGGAGAUAUUUCCAACUCAUAUUUAUUUGUCCAUUUUCGUUUAGAAAUGAGCGUUUUAUUUUGAUUCAAAGAUGGCUAGUUGGAAAUGCAAAAUGCAGAAAAUGAAGAAUAUUGUUCUUUUUCAUAAACUUUGUGGCUCUGUUUAGGAUCGAUUUUUUUUAUUUUUUCACUUUUUAUGAAUAUCAUCUUGUUGUAUG